RNAcentral lists this long non-coding RNA (642 nucleotides) under Dromaius novaehollandiae (emu). RNAcentral's name for it is "lncRNA (ENSDNVG00000000188.1)". Lineage: Eukaryota; Metazoa; Chordata; Aves; Casuariiformes; Dromaiidae. The record is from RNAcentral.
CCGGGCUCCCCCUGCCCGGCUCCGGGCUCCCCCUGCCCCGCUCCGCCCCGGCGCUCCGGGCACCGCCGCUUCCUCGUGUGACAUCAGGCCCCGCCGGGGCGGGCGGCUCCCCGUGACCCCGAGCCCGGCGAAACCGAAAGCGCCGCGUUUCCACCUGCACCCGGCCCGGCCGGGAACCGCUGCCCGGGGCGGCGGCGGCGGCAGCCUGGGCGCCCGGCAGCGCGGCCGGAGCCGGAGCCGGAGCCGGAGCCGGAGCCGGAGCCGCCGCAUCCGCCCCGCGCCGGGGCCGGGGGAGCCGGGGCAGCUCCGCGGAGCCGCUGGAGCGCGGCGGCCCUGGAGAGAGAGAUUUUUCAAGGGGAUCAGUCACUGCCAGCGCAUCCUCAAGGAGCAACUUGUCGCCUGCCAGAGGCCCAGACCUCCCUCGCUCUGCGGACAUCGUCUGCUGGUUAACUGGACUCCGUGCAGCUGGCUUCGGUUCAUCUGGCCAGUUCCUCAGGGGAGAGACUGUCCCUGAUCCUGCGACGUGCCCCUGAGCAACGAGGACCUACUCCUCGUGCAGUACCUAAAGUACCAUAAGGAAACAAGCCUUCGCUGUAGAGACUGUAAUAUGCUUUUUCCAUCCAUGCUUCUGCAGCACGUUGU